This 681-nucleotide ribosomal RNA is filed under the name Eimeria mitis. Its description in RNAcentral is "SSU rRNA". It matches the Rfam family "Eukaryotic small subunit ribosomal RNA", at positions 31 to 711 of the family's 1831-position model. Lineage: Eukaryota; Apicomplexa; Conoidasida; Eucoccidiorida; Eimeriidae. The record is from RNAcentral.
CUUGUCUUCAAAGAUUAAGCCAUGCAUGUCUAAGUAUAAGCUUUUAUACGGUGAAACUGCGAAUGGCUCAUUAAAACAGUUAUAGUUUAUUUGAUGGUCUUUUUUACAUGGAUAACCAUGGUAAUUCUAUGGCUAAUACAUGCGCAUAGGCCUCCUCCUCUGGAGGGGCUGUGUUUAUUAGAUACAAAACCAACCCACUUUGUGGAGCCUUGGUGAUUCAUAGUAACCGAACGGAUCGCAGUUGGCUUUCGGGCCCGCGAUGGAUCAUUCAAGUUUCUGACCUAUCAGCUUUCGACGGUAGGGUAUUGGCCUACCGUGGCAGUGACGGGUAACGGGGAAUUAGGGUUCGAUUCCGGAGAGGGAGCCUGAGAAACGGCUACCACAUCUAAGGAAGGCAGCAGGCGCGCAAAUUACCCAAUGAAAACAGUUUCGAGGUAGUGACGAGAAAUAACAAUACAGGGCAUUUUAUGCUUUGUAAUUGGAAUGAUGGGAAUGUAAAACCCUUCCAGAGUAACAAUUGGAGGGCAAGUCUGGUGCCAGCAGCCGCGGUAAUCCCAGCUCCAAUAGUGUAUAUUAGAGUUGUUGCAGUUAAAAAGCUCGUAGUUGGAUUUCUGUCGUGGUCAUCCUGUGCUGCCCGUAUGGGUGUGCACGUGGUUUGCCCUCGGCUUUCUUCGGGUAGCC